AUUGAACGCUGGCGGCAGGCCUAACACAUGCAAGUCGAGCGGAUGAAGGGGGCUUGCUCCUGGAUUCAGCGGCGGACGGGUGAGUAAUGCGCAGGAAUCUACCUCGUAGUGGGGGAUAACGUCUCGAAAGGGGCGCUAAUACCGCAUACGUUCUGAGGAAGAAAGCAGGGGGACCUUCGGGCCUUGCGCUAUGAGAUGAGCUUGCGUCCGAUUAGCUAGUUGGUGGGUAAAGGCCUACCAAGGCGGCGAUCGGUAACUGGUCUGAGAGGAUGAUCAGCCACACUGGAACUGAGACACGGUCCAGACUCCUACGGGAGGCAGCAGUGGGGAAUUUUGGACAAUGGGCGCAAGCCUGAUCCAGCAAUGCCGCGUGAGUGAAGAAGGCCUUCGGUUGUAAGACGUCUUUCUAGUUGUAG
Molecule: ribosomal RNA, 416 nt
Filed under: uncultured bacterium
Lineage: Bacteria
Description: bacterial SSU rRNA
Rfam family: Bacterial small subunit ribosomal RNA
Source: RNAcentral